CCUACGGGAGGCAGCAGUGAGGAAUAUUGGUCAAUGGACGCAAGUCUGAACCAGCCAUGCCGCGUGCAGGAUGACGGCUCUAUGAGUUGUAAACUUCUUUUGUACGAGGGUAAACUCCGAUACGUGUAUCGGGUUGAAUGUAUCGUACGAAUAAGGAUCGGCUAACUCCGUGCCAGCAGCCGCGGUAAUACGGAGGAUCCGAGCGUUAUCCGGAUUUAUUGGGUUUAAAGGGUGCGUAGGCGGUUUGAUAAGUUAGAGGUGAAAUGUCGGGGCUAAACCUAGAAACUGCGUCGAAUACGGUUGGACUAGAGAAUAGUUGCGGUAGGCGGAAGGUAUGGUGUAGCGGUGAAAUGCUUAGAG
This 360-nucleotide ribosomal RNA is filed under the name uncultured bacterium. Its description in RNAcentral is "partial 16S ribosomal RNA". It matches the Rfam family "Bacterial small subunit ribosomal RNA", at positions 338 to 695 of the family's 1533-position model. The record is from RNAcentral.